Gossypium arboreum is the source of this 619-nucleotide long non-coding RNA. RefSeq lists it as uncharacterized. The record is from RefSeq and is a predicted model, not a curated record. The transcript has 2 exons. NCBI's taxonomy places the organism in Eukaryota, Viridiplantae, Streptophyta, Magnoliopsida, Malvales, Malvaceae.
GAAUAAACUUGGUAACCAUGUUCAAGCAUUCGUUAACCGAGUUACGGCGUCCGAAAGCCCCGUAUGAACCUUAGGAAUAGUUAGGAUACAUAUUUCAUGACAUAGGAUUUCGAUAUGUGAUGUGCGAGUAAGACCAUGGCAUCGAUAUGUGACUUCGAUAUAUGUGUGCGAGUACGACCCUGUCUGGGACAGUGGCAUCGAUAUGUGGUUACAUGUAAGACCUCAUCUGGGACGUUGGCAUUGUACGAUAUAUGUGUGACUAUCCGAGUGUCCUAUCCAAUUUCGAAUGGUUCAACGGGCAUCGAUAAGUUGAGAUCAAAUGUGCAAAAGUGAGCUACAAUGGUCAGUUUUAUAGAUUUUGGAUUCAAGUUUCGAGCUCGGGAAUCGUCAGAGAAGCUUAUCACACUAUCGACUGUCUUCGGUAUUUUAUAAGCUGAAUUUUCGAACCUAUGACAUGUAUAGGCUAGAUUGUAAUUUGAAAUGUUGGAUUUUGGUUUUGUAUAAUUUAGGCCAUGCGAAAAUGGCCUAACUUCAAUGCUUUAUUAUGGUUUUGUUUGAUUAUGGCUUACGUUCAUUUGGUUAUUAUGCUAUAUGUCCUGAAUGAAUGGUAUUUGUGAUA